GAGAAAGAGAAUCUUAGUGAAUGUCAUGGUAGUCAUAGAAGCAAGAGCAUUAAUUGUUUUAUUAAAUUCAUCCCUCCCUUCUCCUAUCAAUUACGGUCUGCAAGUGCAAGAAAGUGGGGGAAUACCUAAUGAGUGAGUAUCACUUGAACCUCUAUUGUUUCUGCUUCUCAAAUCUCUAAAAACAGAUUCCUUGACCAUACAUGGAGUCCCCUUGACCAUACAUGGAGUCC
Molecule: unclassified non-coding RNA, 230 nt
Filed under: Hevea brasiliensis (rubber tree)
Lineage: Eukaryota; Viridiplantae; Streptophyta; Magnoliopsida; Malpighiales; Euphorbiaceae
Source: RNAcentral